UACGAAGGGGGCUAGCGUUGCUCGGAAUUACUGGGCGUAAAGGGCGCGUAGGCGGCUUGUCAAGUCACUUGUGAAAUCUCUGGGCUUAACCCAGAACGGCCAAGUGAAACUGACAUGCUAGAGUGCAGAAGGGGCAAUCGGAAUUCUUGGUGUAGCGGUGAAAUGCGUAGAUAUCAAGAGGAACACCUGAGGUGAAGACGGGUUGCUGGGCUGACACUGACGCUGAGGCGCGAAAGCCAGGGGAGCAAACGGG
RNAcentral lists this ribosomal RNA (253 nucleotides) under uncultured bacterium. RNAcentral describes it as "partial 16S ribosomal RNA". It matches the Rfam family "Bacterial small subunit ribosomal RNA", at positions 524 to 776 of the family's 1533-position model. The record is from RNAcentral.